UGAGUGCACAGUAUAUUUUGGACAAACGAAAAUAAGUAUAAUGAUAGCGAUGACAGAUCCGUCGAACUAAAAAAUGCUGAUGAAGAAUUAGAAGUACGGAUGCAACGCAGGCUGAUUGAAUCGUAACAAAAUUGUAUAGGCUUUCUUUGAUCCUAACCUAACCCAAUCUUCGAGUUGGAUCCAACGGAGAUGGGGUCGGGUUGAGUCUGGUCGAAUUGGAUUGGUUACUUAGUUUAUAGUUUGAUGGUCAUGACCCUCAUAAAUUUUUGCCUUAUUAAAAAAUAUAGGUAAUUCCAAUUCAACCUAGCACAAUUGGCUAAGAACUUAAUGGUUUGUAUACCGAGAUUCCAAGUUCGAAACCUAAAAUCUGUACAUUUCGAGCUGAGUUCAUUUCUUAAAAAAAUAAAUGAAGCAGCUAGCUUGAUACCCUUUUGUGAAGAAAAAAAAAAGAAAAUUAAAUAUUGUUAUUGAUUU
RNAcentral lists this long non-coding RNA (474 nucleotides) under Ananas comosus (pineapple). RNAcentral describes it as "long non-coding RNA (ACOM_LNC018484)". The record is from RNAcentral. Lineage: Eukaryota; Viridiplantae; Streptophyta; Magnoliopsida; Poales; Bromeliaceae.